RNAcentral lists this ribosomal RNA (396 nucleotides) under uncultured bacterium. RNAcentral describes it as "bacterial SSU rRNA". It matches the Rfam family "Bacterial small subunit ribosomal RNA", at positions 30 to 429 of the family's 1533-position model. The record is from RNAcentral.
AUUGAACGCUGGCGGCAUGCCUUACACAUGCAAGUCGAACGGUAACAGGUCUUCGGAUGCUGACGAGUGGCGAACGGGUGAGUAAUAUAUCGGAACAUACCCUAGAGUGGGGGAUAACGUAGCGAAAGUUACGCUAAUACCGCAUACGAUCUGAGGAUGAAAGUGGGGGCUCGCAAGACCUCAUGCUCAUGGAGUGGCCGAUAUCUGAUUAGCUAGUUGGUGAGGUAAAGGCUCACCAAGGCGACGAUCAGUAGCUGGUUUGAGAGAACGACCAGCCACACUGGAACUGAGACACGGUCCAGACUCCCACGGGAGGCAGCAGUGGGGAAUUUUGGACAAUGGGGGCAACCCUGAUCCAGCAAUGCCGCGUGAGUGAAGAAGGCCUUCGGUUGUAAG